UACGUAGGGGGCAAGCGUUAUCCGGAAUUACUGGGUGUAAAGGGUGCGUAGGUGGUAUGGCAAGUCAGAAGUGAAAACCCAGGGCUUAACUCUGGGACUGCUUUUGAAACUGUCAGACUGGAGUGUAGGAGAGGUAAGCGGAAUUCCUAGUGUAGCGGUGAAAUGCGUAGAUAUUAGGAGGAACAUCAGUGGCGAAGGCGGCUUACUGGACUGAAACUGACACUGAGGCACGAAAGCGUGGGGAGCAAACAGG
RNAcentral lists this ribosomal RNA (253 nucleotides) under Anaerostipes hadrus ATCC 29173 = JCM 17467. RNAcentral describes it as "Anaerostipes hadrus DSM 3319 partial 16S ribosomal RNA". It matches the Rfam family "Bacterial small subunit ribosomal RNA", at positions 524 to 776 of the family's 1533-position model. The record is from RNAcentral. Lineage: Bacteria; Bacillati; Bacillota; Clostridia; Lachnospirales; Lachnospiraceae.